GUGCUUGCUUUGGCAGCACAUACGCUAAACCUGGAACGAUACAGAGAAGAUUAGCAUGGCCCCUGCACAAGGAUGACAAACAAAUUCAUGAAGCAUUCCAUACUUUU
This 107-nucleotide small nuclear RNA is filed under the name Cervus elaphus hippelaphus. Lineage: Eukaryota; Metazoa; Chordata; Mammalia; Artiodactyla; Cervidae. RNAcentral also lists the same sequence under 1 other name. The record is from RNAcentral.